RNAcentral lists this ribosomal RNA (468 nucleotides) under uncultured bacterium. RNAcentral's name for it is "partial 16S ribosomal RNA". It matches the Rfam family "Bacterial small subunit ribosomal RNA", at positions 28 to 507 of the family's 1533-position model. The record is from RNAcentral.
GACGAACGCUGGCGGCGUGCUUAACACAUGCAAGUCGAACGGAAAGGCCCUGCUUUUGUGGGGUGCUCGAGUGGCGAACGGGUGAGUAACACGUGAGUAACCUGCCCUUGACUUUGGGAUAACUUCAGGAAACUGGGGCUAAUACCGGAUAGGAGCUCCUGCUGCAUGGUGGGGGUUGGAAAGUUUCGGCGGUUGGGGAUGGACUCGCGGCUUAUCAGCUUGUUGGUGGGGUAGUGGCUUACCAAGGCUUUGACGGGUAGCCGGCCUGAGAGGGUGACCGGCCACAUUGGGAAUGAGAUGAGGCCCAAAAUCCUACGGGAGGCAGCAGUGGGGAAUAUUGCAAGAUGGGCGGAAGCCUGAUGCAGCAACGCCGCGUGCGGGAUGACGGCCUUCGGGUUGUAAACCGCUUUCGCCUGUGACGAAGCGUGAGUGACGGUAAUGGGUAAAGAAGCACCGGCUAAAUACGUG